AGGAAAAGGAACCUGUACGUUAGUCUUCUUUAAUUUUGAGAGGUCUUGUUGGAACUAGCUUAUCUAGUGCACGACAGAGACAGCGUCUAAACAGAUGACAGUAUAUCGAAAUAAUUAAAUACGUUAACAGGUACAUAAAAAUGUACGGGGCCUUAGCUCAGCUGGGAGAGCGCCUGCUUUGCACGCAGGAGGUCAGCGGUUCGAUCCCGCUAGGCUCCAUUAGGAUAGAAAUCCUACUAAACUGAAUAACAGUGAAGUUGAAUUCACGACUAACUUCUUAGGAAAAUAGAUAAUCUUCCUUGUGUGCAAGGCACACAUCGUCAGAUUCCUAAUUUUCUACAGAAGUUUCGCUAAAGCGAUUGUCGUUCAUAUCCUAAACUUGUCCAUUGAAAAUUGAAUAUCUAUCAAACAAUCCUUAUGUAUUUGAAAAGAUACAUAAAGAAAUAGUAACAAGAAAAUAAACCAAAAACGCUGUGAAUAUUUAAUGAGUUUUCUAAUUUUUGAAAAAAUUAGGUUAAUAA
Molecule: transfer RNA, 521 nt
Filed under: uncultured Lactobacillales bacterium
Lineage: Bacteria; Bacillati; Bacillota; Bacilli; Lactobacillales
Description: 16S-23S ribosomal RNA intergenic spacer
Rfam family: tRNA (bases 147-219)
Source: RNAcentral